This 4960-nucleotide long non-coding RNA is filed under the name Sus scrofa (pig). Its description in RNAcentral is "lncRNA (ENSSSCG00055016236.1)". Lineage: Eukaryota; Metazoa; Chordata; Mammalia; Artiodactyla; Suidae. The record is from RNAcentral.
AUUAUUUGUGGCGGUACCCACAAGCAGUGAUUUUGCCAUUAUCCAAAAAAAUAAAGCGAGGAAAGAAAAAGCACAUUAAGGUCUACAAAACAAGCAAGAAAAGCAAAUGCGGCCAACAAAGCAACUUCCCCAGAGCUCCCACUAGCUACAAACCACCCCCCUCCCACCACGUCAUGUCAUCAGCAUCAUGGACCAGGCAGAGAGAACUGAGGAUGGCGGGCAUCCUGCCUUGGGGGGUGCAGGUCCCCGGUCAGGGGAGGCUGCGAGGACCAAGCAGGGAAGCUCCCACCUCCACAUCUCACGCGGGCACCAGGUGCUGCUCGGCGGCAUUUUGUUUCCCUUCAUUUUCAUUCAGCUGAACGGAUUUCAACCUUCUAAACACCCUCUGACUUUUUAAUUAUUUUAAGGUGGGCGUGAGGAAGGAUCCAAUCCCAGGCCCUCGUGGCUCCAGAGAAAGUCUCCAGCCAGGCAGCUCAGACCUGCCCGGGGCUCAGGACUCAUCUGGGGAGCUUGUUAGGAUGCAGAUUCUGAUGCCAAGAUCUGAAGUGGGGUCUGAGCCUCUGCAGUUCUGAUAGCUGUGACACUGAGACCACCACCGGGCCCAGGGUCACCUUCCGGGCCUCUGCCCCGGUUUGCCUGUCCUUCCAGAUUGUCCUGACUUGACCUCACUAUGAGACAGGAAGGAAGGAAACAGGGCAUAAUCAUUAAAAGAACAACAGAGCUGUUGAGGAUGGGCCAAAAACUGGUUAGGACCUACUCCGCCCAAGAUGGCAGGACAUUUGACGUCCAGGGGACAUGGAGCCUCAGUCCAGGCUCACUGCAAUUCAUUAGCAGCUAAAUGACAAGCCCACAGGUGCCAGGUCAGUGCUGAGGCCGAUCAUAAAAGGCCAAAAAGUGAGUGGUGGUCCAAUUCCUGGAAAUCCCCGCCCCUUCCUUAAAAUAAUUGGAAUAAUCCCUCCACUUAUUAGCCUAUGCAUUCCCCAGCCCAUAAAACCUCGCCAGGUUUCAGAGGACUCUCACCUUCUGAGAUGAACCGCAUUCUGCCUAUAGAAUGUGUCUCCAAAUAAACCUGCUUUUGCUUCCUGCAGCUCGCGUUCCCACCAUGGCACAAUGGGAUCCGCAGCGACUCUGCAGCACCAGGAUGCAGGUUCAAUCCCCAGCCCGGCACAGCAGGUUAAUGGAUCUGACGUUGCCACAACUGUGGGCAGUGUAGGUCGCAACUGCAGCUGGGACCUGAUCCCUGGCCUAGGAACUCCAUAUGCCAUGGGGCGUCCAAAAAAAAGAAGGAAAAAACAAAAAAAAAACAAAGAGGAGGGCUGGAAAAAAGUCACCGAGCUUCCUGACACCAGGUCUGGAACUUCACCCCACCUCCAGGCCACCCCUGAGUCUCCCCACAAGGUACCCACCAGAUUCUCGGCCCCACCUGGGCACCCUCAGGACAGAAUGGGGUAUUUAGAGAGCAAUGCAAAUGCAGGAUCAGAAGAGAACACUGUUCCCACUGAGGGCCCCUCCUGGGACCAUCGUGGGGACACGUGCUGUGGGGAGCAGCCCCACCUGGCAAUACCAACCAGAGGCCGGGCCUGCCCGCUCUGACCCAGGCAUCUGGGAUACUGGGAAUCUCCGCCAAGGGGCACACGCUCCAUCUCUAGGGCCCAGCUCCAGGCCUGCCCCAGAGUCAGAAGGACCAGCACUCACGCUUCACUCUAAUAACACAACCUGCUCACACUUCCUCCUACAAAUUUCUCUCCAGUGCCCCCCACACCCAGAAGGCUGCAGGACAAUUCUGGGAAGACCUGGCCACAAGGAGAGGGACCCCCACACUCUCCCUUCCUGGUCCUUCCUGCUUAUCCGCCAAGGCCGCCAAGCAGGGUAUGAACGUCCCUCUGUUUCUCAUGCCCCACCCCCUUGUCCCAAGAAGACAAAAGAAGGGAACCAUCCUCCCUCCCGUGCGCCAGGGACUGGGCCAUUAUUACGCGGCCUCUCACUUUAUUCUCCCAAGAACCCUGCAUGGUUGACACCAUAUCUCCAUCUCACAGGCCUUCGGUAGCGUCAGCAAAUCACAGCACAGCCGUCACGGCAACGCAGUGCAGGGGCGGUCAGGGUGUGGGAUCUGGAGGCGCUCCAGGCGUUUGGACACUGAUGGCCAUUUCUGGCCGCAUGGAUCUGGGCCUCAGUAAGGCUCACCGGAUGGGGUUUAGAAUGAAUGAAGCCUCUCUUGGAGGUCCCGUCGUGAUGCAGUGGUUAACGAAUCCGACUAGGAACCAUGAGGUUGCGGGUUCGAUCCCUGGCCUUGCUCAGUGGGUUAAGGAUCCGGCGUUGCCAUGAGCUGUGGUGUAGGUCGCAGACGUGGCUUGGAUCGUGCGUUGCUGUGGCUGUGGUGUAGGCCGGUGGCUACAGCUCCAAUUCGACCCCUAGCCUGGGAACCUCCAUAUGCAGCGGGAGAGGCCCAAGAAACAGCAAAAAAAAAAAAAAGAAUGAAUGAAACCUCUCUCAUGGAGUUGCUGUGAGGACUAAAUGGGACCUCACGGACCUAGGCGAGCCAGCCCGUGGCAAAUGCUUACGACCUAUUCCUUGCCAUCCCUAGAAGUCAACAAGGAGGGCAGGGCUAGAACCCACACCUGGACACAAGGGGCUAGGUUCCAACAGCCAGUUUCAGGCAGGCCCACCACUUUAAAGAGAUCGAACCCAUUCUCGUUGAAUGGGGGGGACAGGGGAUCUUAAGGGAAACACGCUCAGCUCUUGAGGACCAGAUCACAUGGAGCACGAGGAGCCUGGAACUGUGAGGCCCAGGGAUCCUCCUCUGACAAUGGAAGCAGCCCCAGCGAUCCCUCUGAGAGCACAGGAAGGCCACGGCUCACGUCCCCAAACACAUAUUUGAAGACUCUUUCCUUUUCAGGAGGAAGGCUGACAAACCCCUCUCCACCAUAGACCGGAACCCAUGACCUCAGAGCCAGGACACAUGGGCACCGAACUCCAAAGGAGAGAAGGAGCAGAGCGCCAGGUGUGCCAGCGCCUGAGCCAGAGGAGAAAGAAUCUCACAAGUAGGGGCAGAAGCUGGGCUGGUCAGGUGCACAUGAAACACAAGAAGACGGAAAUGGCUUCUACUUUUCGAAGUGUGCAUGUAAGAUGAAACGCUUGGAAAACUAGUUGGCACUGAAGCUGGUCCUGAAUCAAUCCGUGAGACAAUGACCUAAAUAGGCCGACCCCCUGGAGGCUGCCCCAAAGCCAAGUCAGGCUCCUCCAACACGCUGUGCCUGCCUGCCGUUCCCAGGAGCGCUGCGUGAUGGACAGUUCUAAGGAAGACCCUAUAAUCUGCAUUUAUGCCAUUUGUCUCUUUGAUACAUAAAAUACAGAUAUUUGCAUCAUUUAUGUGAACAUGCAUGAUUUUCUUCUGAAAGCCACAAAGAGAAAGAGAGUCUGAUCCAUGGCCCCCUCCCCACGCCCCAUCAUCCCCCUUCUUCAGCAGCCUGAAGACUUAAGCCCAGCACCUCUGACAAGCCAAAUUGAUCUGGAAAGGCGCUUCGGAGGCCCGUCGCAUGAACAGAAAGAAGAAAGGACUGUCCUUGCAAAGGAGACACAGAAGACAAAGUGAGGUGUGGGCAAGUCUCCUUCUCCACUCGGUGGCCUCCUGUAGGUGACAGCGGGAAGGUCCAGGGACAGCAGGAAGCCCCAAGGAGCUGCCCAGGCCACAUGACCUGACUGCACUAGAGCUCAACUAUAUGCCCUGAAACCGCAGCCUUGAACAAAAAGCCAAACAGACCAAAGUGAGGAACAGAAGCUUCUGCACCAGCAGGCGGGCGAGGCUGGCAGGCCAAGGUACGCCCCUGGGCAUCCAGGCCAGAUCCUCUGGCAGGGGCUGGUUCCGAGCCAAGCAGCCUCAGGGGCCCCGAGCAGCUGGGAUCAAGGACCUUCAGAGGCCUGAACCACUGGUCUUGAGGCCCUUGAGGACUCCUGAGCAGAAACCUGGGCGCAGAUUGGCCGCGCCAUCCCACACUUCACUCAUGCCCCAUAGGCGCAUCCUUCCUGCCCGGCCCAUCCUUCCUUCCCAUCCUUCCAGCGGCUCCUAUUUGCAGGAGGAUAACGGCACCCAUCAUUCCACCAGGCCUCAGAGACAGCACGUGUGCGCAUGCACGUGAUCCCUGCUCCCCUGCAAGGGCGUAUCCUCCCCACUCCUCCAGAGAGAAAAAUGAGACCAGGGAGACGGACAGGGAGGACCCAGUCUUCCAGACACCCGUGCCUGGAUUCUAGACCUUCUCUGCAACUCCCUUCACCAGCCCCUGGUCUAGGCAGGCACUGGUCCUUUGAGCAGCUCCCAUCCUCAGCCGCUCGCUCCCCCCACCGACGCUCCGUGACUGAGCACCCACCUUCUAGGCACUGAGGGUGCAGCGCCAAUGAGACAAGCAGCGGCAUCCUCUCACGAAGGCUACCUUCCACGCAGACACAGAUAAGAGGAUCAAAAUGGACAAAAGCGGUCCACGGUCACCUCCGUGAGUCCACACAUGCCGACAGGUGCUUCCCCAUCACAGCAGGGAGCAGAGAUGGGCUCGAACUUCCCCCUCACUUCUCUGACCUCAAGACCUGCAGAGCCCCGUGGUGUGGAGCAGGUCCAGUCCCGAGAAGCCCCAGCCCAAAACGCAGGCAUGAGGCACGUACAGGAUGCUCCUGGCUAAGGAAAGCAUCCCUCAGCCAACCACCACCAGCGUCGCCCGCAUCCCUGCCAAGAAAGGCGCCCCAUGCCCUCCCCACUCGCAGGUGUGUCCUGCCGGGGCGAAGACCUGCCCACCCACUUUGUCAAACUGUUGAUGUCCACAAUGAACAACGUCCCAAACCACAGACAGGAUCAUGUUUCUCUGAGACAUGACUUCUAGCACCAGCUGCCCACAGCGACUCCUGGGCCUGCCCCAAGCUCCCAACACCCCCUCCAUCAUAGAAACUUCCUGGGACCACGUUCGCCCCACCU